Molecule: transfer RNA, 86 nt
Filed under: Streptomyces sp. MH60
Lineage: Bacteria; Bacillati; Actinomycetota; Actinomycetes; Kitasatosporales; Streptomycetaceae
Description: tRNA-Lys
Source: RNAcentral
CAUGCCGCUGAGGAGGGCUUCGCCGAUCUUGCCGGUGCCGAGGACUGCGACUUUCUGGGUCAUGGGUUCGGUGCCCUUCGGAGUGU